This is a long non-coding RNA of Penaeus monodon (black tiger shrimp), 657 nucleotides long. RefSeq lists it as uncharacterized. The transcript has 3 exons. The record is from RefSeq and is a predicted model, not a curated record. NCBI's taxonomy places the organism in Eukaryota, Metazoa, Arthropoda, Malacostraca, Decapoda, Penaeidae.
UGUGGGUUUAUUUGCAAAAUCCGCUGUUCUUGGUCGAGGAAGAAGCUGUUGAUGCGGCCCGAUAUGUGCUAGGAGAUUCCGGAUGAGGAAAUAUGUGCUAGGAAGGUCCGGAUGAGGAAAUAUGAUUCCGAGAUAGAGGCAGAUGAGGGAGGAACACCAGAGCGAGUGAUGUCGGCGGCGUGAGAGGAAGAAGGAAGGAAGGAAGGAGAAUGAAGACCAGGGCUAGGACCAAGUUGCCAGAAAUGUGGAAGAUAAAAGUUACUCCAUUUUGGCAGGGAUGAAUUAAAAGAAAGAUACUAAGAAAGAAGAGGAAGCCUACUUUAACUACAGUUUUGAUAAGAAUGUAAAGCCAAAGGAAGCAAAACGCCUUCAACUUGACAGAGUAUAUUGCAGUAAGAAGCCCUAGUCCCUCUGGAAGGAGACCUUGAAGAAUUUCCAUUGGAAAUUGUUGUUUGACCUAAUUCAAACUCCAUUUUUGAUCUCACAAUUAGGAGAAAGCCUUACCAUUCACAUUCCUCAGACAAUGAAGAUUUAAGAUGAGGAGGUUCUGACAGUCUGUUUUAUGAAGGAGAAGGAUGAAGUCUAUGUAACAUCCAAUACAAAGAAGCCAGUGUGAAGAACUAAUUGUGUUAGAGAUGCUACACUCUUUAGUCCAGA